This 4874-nucleotide small RNA is filed under the name Pan troglodytes (chimpanzee). RNAcentral's name for it is "processed transcript". The record is from RNAcentral. Lineage: Eukaryota; Metazoa; Chordata; Mammalia; Primates; Hominidae.
AUAUUCAGAGCCUCAGAACCACGUGCAGCGUCUGUUUCUGCAGUGCGAGCUGUUUAAUGCCCUGUUAAGUACUGCAGAUGUCUGGAGUGCCGUGCAUCUUGGCAUUCAGGGGUGACGUCUUUUUUUAUUCGAGAGGGCAAAGCAGAGGGUAUGGGUUAGGCAGUGCCUUCUGGGAGGGGCCUUUUGUUCCUUCUCCACAUCUCUCCCUGAUAAGGGUAGCUGGAUUCCUUUCUACAACUUGGCUUCCUUGUGGCCUGAGCUGUUUGUAGUCCUUGCUGAAAAUGGCUCCGAUUCCAUUUAACAAAUGAGAAACACUUCUUGUCCAGAUGCCUCCAUGGUCCCCAGUCUUCCUUCUGUGUCAUUUCACUUCUCCUCUUCCAGAGGGCGGAGGCCCUCCUCAAUACAGGGAAACACCUUGGUCAUCAGAUCUUGUCAUGCUUGCCUUUGCCCCAAAACUAUCUCGACCACUUGGUGGACUUUCAGUGGGAUCCUUGUAAACUGUCAAAGGAAACCACUUCAUCCUCACAGCUGCCAGUUUUUAAGCCUCGUGAACUCAGAUCUGGAUGGUCCUUCUGUCAUUUAUAAUCAAUCAUCACUCAGUAUUCCUGCAGCAACUUCAGGGCCUCUGGUCUUGAAGCAGACCCUGCAGAGCAAUCAAUCAAACGCUGAGCGCCUGGAGGGCUUAACCUCGCUCAGUUUCCUGUUCUUCAGUCUCCCUAACCCAGGUCUACCCGGUCCUAUGCAGUUAUAUUCCUUACCAUACACUGACAGCGUCCAGCUGGGGGCCCGGUGCAGUAAGCUGCACAGUAGAGAUGCUGGGAUGGUUUUAAAUUCCUGAUGCCCAGGAAAUUCCCAGCUUAAUUAAAUCAGAAAUGCUGCAGUGGGGGCCAGACACCGUUUCACGUUCCCAGGUGACUCCAGUAUGCAGCCAGACUCGAGCCACUGCAAUAGACCCAUUUUCCUGUUGAAAAAUCAUGCUCCCCCCAGUGUUAGUAAAUGUCCUUCAGACCCUGUGGAGUGGCCUUCUUUAAACCACGACAAUGGACUGGCCUUUAUGUCCAAAGGAGACAAUGCUAGCUUGGCUUCAGCCCUAGUGAACACAGUGAACACAGGAAGCAGGCAGUUUAAUCCAUCCGUGGUCCUUCCUCUGCCUCCCAAUUAACUAAGUGUGCCUUUGCAGUCAACUCUGACGUCGUUGGCUGAUAGGCAGGCAAGGGAGGGAAGUACAAGGCAAGUUUACAAUCCUGAUUCAAACCAGCCCACUAUCCCGAAACCAGCACACAGAGCCGGCAUCACCAUGGAAACGCAUUUCCUCACAGUGGAGCAAGAUGCCAGUAGAGGCAGCGAGUGUGUUUGUGAAGACAGCCAUAGCCAGGGGCAGGGUUUCCCUUUGCAGGAGCAGGAGUGGCAGGAGCGGGGAGGCAGGAAGCUCUCUGGGUUCCUGGGGGCUUUGGAGUCCAUUCUAACAGUCUCACAUGAGGCUGGGCAUUUUGGUGCUGCCAAGUCUUGGUACCAGAGGAUGAUCUUCUGCUGCCAUUAGCAGCCAGGGUUGGCAGAAAAUCAAAUUUGGAGUCCCCAAGUGUGACUUCAGUCCUCACUGAGAAGUGCACAGCUGGUGUGGGGGGCUUAACAAGAGCACUUUGCUUUCUGGGGAUUUCUGCUUGGGCAUAAAAGCCAUUUGCCAAUGCUUGCAGAAAACACAGAACAAAGAAUGCAAGUACAGCAGCAACACAGCCAGGAGGGCAGCCCCAGAAUUGGGAGGCCAACAGUGCUACUGGGCUCAAGUGCUGUUAUAAGGAGAAGUGUGGCUGUACACGAUGCUCUGUGUGUUGAAGUGCUGAAGACCUCGGCUGGGCUGGGACUGAGUCUGGAUGGGGGAAAAUCAUCGGUGACAGGAGAUGGGCCCUUGGUCAUUAAAAGAGUGUACAAAGGUGGUGCGGCUGAACAAGCUGGAAUAAUAGAAGCUGGAGAUGAAAUUCUUGCUAUUAAUGGGAAACCUCUGGUUGGGCUCAUGCACUUUGAUGCCUGGAAUAUUAUGAAGUCUGUCCCAGAAGGACCUGUGCAGUUAUUAAUUAGAAAGCAUAGGAAUUCUUCAUGAAUUUUAACAAGAAUCAUUUUCUCAGUUCUCUUCUUUCUUUAGCAAAUCAGAGUGACUUCUUUAAAUCACAGGUUGUUGAAAUGGCCAACACUGGUACAGACACGGACUGUAAAAAUCUCCAAGCUUGUGCUUACACAUGAAGCCUGACUUAACUGUAUGUGCAACAGCAAUGAAAUUAACUCCAGAAGCCUUCCACCUGCGUCACCCAGGCCGGGAGGGUUCCUUCGUUCCAGUGCCUGUCCCCUACCUUUAUGUUUACUGAUGGGGAUACAAGAUGUGACACACCCUUCUUUAUUUGAAACAAACACUUAGCUAGACCUUUGCUUCCUUCUUGCCAGCUCUCCCAACAUACCCAAUCCUGGUGAUCAGGGAACUAAAAGUCUGAGGGGGACACAAAUGUCACACCUAAGAGGACUAUCAAUCAUUUUGUAUGAUUUUGUAAGUAAGUAAAUGACAGAAUGCUUUUAGGCACAUUCAAUGGAAGGAGGCGAUGUAGGUCUGUAUAUGUUACCCUGAAAAGAGAAUAAGACUUAAAAAAAAUGAAUUAUGACCUGUUAGGCUGAGCUCAGGAAUUGUCCAAAAAGGAAAAAGCAAAAUAAUUAUUAAUAGAGAGUAUUUUUUAGUGAGUGUAAUGUAUAAUGUACGUAUGCAAAGUUCAACUCAAUAGGUUAUUGAUCACCAUGAAGUAUUGAUCAUUUUCUAUCUCAAAAGUGUAAGCCAUAAGGCUGUUUUACAGAAUAGCACUUCUGAUAAGCUGUAUUAAACAGCCAUGAGCUUCACUGCUUAGAGGGAGCAGAAAGGUCAACAUCUAAAAGCACCUUACAACUAGUUUUUGAACCUGUCUUGAUAAGUGCUUGAAUUCAAGACUGGUCAGUACAAGAGCAGACAAAAAUAUCACAAGUCAGUCACUGGGUUUCCAUUUCUGAAUUUUAUGCACUCCAACCAUGAAUUUAAACUAAAUUUUUAGAAAUCAAGUAUCUUUCUAAGUGUCCUUGGAUUUAUAGACAAUGUAUGUACAAUCCAAAUAGAGGAGCUUAAUGGAAUCCUUUUAGGAGACUGGUUGGUUUUUUUCCCUCUUUCCCAACAUGUUUAAGAAAUGUAACAUUCUAUAAGUAUUGGAUCUCUUUUCUUGACCUAGUAUAAUGACAACUGCAGUGACUUUAAGUUUUUGCUGUUUUCGUUUUCCCGCUUUGCAAUUUCCUCCUUUUGCCAAAAAUGUUUUCCUACAGAAGACUGUCGUGACUCACGCUACUUGGGAAACUCACUCUGGCCACUCCUCCUCUGGUGGCAUGAGCUGCUUCCCAGUAGCUAUUCCGAUUGGAUAUUCCGUUCGUCGUCACAUAGCUGGCUUUUCUCUCCUCAUGAUGUACCUUAUUUUCUUUUCUUAGGUAAAUUCCAAACUCUCAUCGGGUCAUAAAGAGGAGGAGAAACAGGGUGAGUCAAGGUAAAGGAGCAGAAAUGUAGUUACAAGCCAGGUCGUCUUCAGUGGCACAAACCAACCCGUUGAGCCCUGACAACAUGAGUGGAGAGUGCAUUUGCCAUACCUGUGUGCAUGACACUAAGAUUUUAUGUUGGAGAUACUUCUUUAAAUAACCUACAGCUUGGGUCUAUGGCUGUGACCCCCAGAUUCAUGGAGGGGCUUUAGCCAUCAGCUUCGUACAUCAUUUUUCUGAAUGACCAAUCCCACUAAACAUCUUUGAAGUCGGCCUAGAGAGGUCCUUCAGAUGAGAGAGAAAUAGCUGGCUUGUCUGAGUCCAGAUUUCUCAUCAACUGGCAAUACAAAGGAAAAUAUAGUACAGGAGUUAGUUAGUUAGAAAGGUCUUAUUGAUUUUACUUCUACUUUUCACUACAAUUACAGGUAGAAUACUGUAGGAAGUCAGUGCAAGGUGCAUGCUUGAUUGAUUGAUUGUUUUUCAGUCUCUGGGGUCAGUUUUGUGGUUUCUGCUUUCUUGCCUAAAUCAAAGACUAUUUCAAGUCAACACUGAAAACUGCUUUUCGCCUCCACUCUUACAGCUGUGCCUAAUAAUAAUUAAUAAACAUAAUAAUUAAUAAACGCACAGCCCUAUGUGAACAGGCAGGAAUUUCUUGUGCAAUGUGGAGCAAAUGGAAUGGUCUCCUUCCGCAAGUCUUUAAUCCUCAUAUCUGGAGUACAAGGGUAGACCUCUGGCUUACCACAUACACUAUGCUAAAGUCAUCAGCCACUGCUACUACAUCUUGCCAGAAGGUUUCCCUCGCCAACAGUUGAAAUUUAAGGGAAGAAGCAAAAGCUAAACUGUCUUUGACCCUAAGAUAGAUAGAAAGCUAUUUAUUUGUCUUCAGUGUUCAAGGCAUGACUAGUAUUUCUAAUUAGCCUAAUAAAUUCCCACACUUUCUGAAGUGAACACUAAUGGUAUUGUCCUACUAAAACUGUCAUUGUUUCUUUUUUUUUAACUGGUCAGUCAUUCACAAUAAGCUAUGAGGGUAAAUAUGUGUUAUAACAAGUAAAUCGUAGUUGCAAGAAUAUACCAUGAAGAUUAAAGUAGGCUGGGUUUCAUUUCCAUCUUCCCACACAUCUCAUUGAAUUUGAUGGUUGACUUAAUUGGCACCAUAACUUUGUAUGAUAUUAUACAUUAUCCUUUAUUUAUGUAAAGUAAAAUGCCUUAUAUAUUAAAGAGUAAGUGCAAUAAUAUGAAAUAGCCUGUACAUUUUAAAAAUGUUGUCACCAAGUUAUAUAAAUCCACAUCUCUGUAAACAACCUUUUUUAAGUAAUUUUAAAAAAAUAAACACUCUGCUUACU